UAGAGAUGCAGCCAGUCAGCAGCAUUAAAAUUACUGAGAAUUCUGAGUGGAACCUAUGGAAAAGAAGGACGGUUACAUCAUAGUGGAGACAAGUUCACCAGACCUUUUCCCUGCUCCACAUUGGGGGGAGGGCAGGAGAGGCACAAAGACUGACUGUAGCACAGACACACGAGCAGGGACUUGCCCUAUGCUGGUUUAGAGAUGAGCUCAACCAAGUUCAGAUUUGGGUGCUAAGUUAAAGUUGAAGGGCAUCUGAGAGAUCUGCUCCUGACCCCAGAUGCGGCCUCGCAGGGAUUCAUGAGCUGGGAAGAACUGUG
Molecule: long non-coding RNA, 317 nt
Organism: Pelodiscus sinensis (Chinese soft-shelled turtle)
Lineage: Eukaryota; Metazoa; Chordata; Testudines; Trionychidae
Source: RefSeq, a predicted model, not a curated record